Molecule: ribosomal RNA, 460 nt
Filed under: uncultured bacterium
Lineage: Bacteria
Description: bacterial SSU rRNA
Rfam family: Bacterial small subunit ribosomal RNA
Source: RNAcentral
AUGAACGCUAGCGGUGUGCCUAAGAUAUGCAAGUCGAGCGGAGUGGCGCAAGCCACUCAGCGGCGGCCGGCUGAGUAACACGUGCGAACUUACCCUACACUUGAGAAUACCCCCGCGAAAGCGGGGCUAAUACUCAAUAGUUAUCUUCGGAUUAAAGGGCUUAACUGCCCGGUGAAGGAGAGGCGUGCGGACUACCAGGUUGUUGGUGGGGUAACGGCCUACCAAGCCUAUGACGGUUAGCUGAUCUUUGUCGGAUGGACAGCCAGAAUGGGACUGAGACACGGCCCAUACACCUACGGGUGGCAGCAAUUAGGAAUAGUUGGCAAUGGGCGAAAGCCUGACCACGCGACACCGCGUGUAGGAAUAAGCAUUAACUUGUGUAAACUACUGUGGUAGGGGAUAAAGUCCCGCUUAUGGCGGGAUUGAUAGUACUCUACUAGAAAGUGUCGGCUAACUGCGU